GGAAGGUUGGCUGAGCGGUCAAAAGCAUCGGUCUUGAAAACCGGCGAGUGUAAAAAGCUCCAAGGGUUCGAAUCCCUUACCUUCCU
RNAcentral lists this transfer RNA (86 nucleotides) under Desulfatibacillum alkenivorans AK-01. It matches the Rfam family "tRNA". From Rfam's summary of the family: Transfer RNA (tRNA) molecules are approximately 80 nucleotides in length. Their secondary structure includes four short double-helical elements and three loops (D, anti-codon, and T loops). Further hydrogen bonds mediate the characteristic L-shaped molecular structure. tRNAs have two regions of fundamental functional importance: the anti-codon, which is responsible for specific mRNA codon recognition, and the 3' end, to which the tRNAs corresponding amino acid is attached (by aminoacyl-tRNA synthetases). tRNAs cope with the degeneracy of the genetic code in two manners: having more than one tRNA (with a specific anti-codon) for a particular amino acid; and 'wobble' base-pairing, i.e. permitting non-standard base-pairing at the 3rd anti-codon position. The record is from Rfam by way of RNAcentral. Lineage: Bacteria; Pseudomonadati; Thermodesulfobacteriota; Desulfobacteria; Desulfobacterales; Desulfatibacillaceae.